UACAGAGGUCCCGAGCGUUGUUCGGAUUCAUUGGGCGUAAAGGGUGCGUAGGCGGCGGGGCAAGUCUGAUGUGAAAUCCCCAGGCUCAACCUGGGAACUGCGUCUGAUACUGGAUGGCUUGAAUCCGGGAGAGGGAUGCAGAAUUCCAGGUGUAGCGGUGAAAUGCGUAGAUAUCUGGAGGAAUACCGGUGGCGAAGGCGGCAUCCUGGACCGGCAUUGACGCUGAGGAGCGAAAGCCAGGGGAGCAAACGGG
This 253-nucleotide ribosomal RNA is filed under the name uncultured bacterium. RNAcentral's name for it is "partial 16S ribosomal RNA". It matches the Rfam family "Bacterial small subunit ribosomal RNA", at positions 524 to 776 of the family's 1533-position model. The record is from RNAcentral.